AAUUUGAUGUGCAGGUGAGCUUUUCCCAGUUUAUCAGAUGUAUCAUUGAGUCAUUUUUUUAACCAAAUUAAUGCAGCACGCGUUAAUUUUACUCUUUUGCAGAGCUUCUGGAUGUUUUGUCUUUAUGGAAGUUUAAGCAAAUAUGAGCUUGACGAGUUCCAUAUAUUUUAUCCCAGAAUUAUCAAUUGUGUGAAAUCUCUCUUCUUUUCCAUAAAUUCAUUAUGUGUAUAGCUUCAAACACGCUAUAUCACAUUGAAGUACCUUUCUAUUGUUUCAAAAUGGUAUUCCGUGGUGCAUCCAAAUCACUGCCCUUCUAUUUGCCAUUCUCGUCUUGUUUCUGUUUUCGAGACAAGAGUAUGGGAUUACUUGUGUAAGAGGAUAUUCUAUGAAG
This 391-nucleotide long non-coding RNA is filed under the name Eucalyptus grandis. RNAcentral's name for it is "long non-coding RNA (EGRA_LNC004826)". Lineage: Eukaryota; Viridiplantae; Streptophyta; Magnoliopsida; Myrtales; Myrtaceae. The record is from RNAcentral.